This 34052-nucleotide long non-coding RNA is filed under the name Carica papaya (papaya). Its description in RNAcentral is "long non-coding RNA (CPAP_LNC008083)". The record is from RNAcentral. Lineage: Eukaryota; Viridiplantae; Streptophyta; Magnoliopsida; Brassicales; Caricaceae.
AAGGACUUCAACAGUAUUUGUUGCUUUCCUAAUUCCUCCCUCGAAGUUUCUCGAAAAUUGAUUUCUUUGAACAUUUUGACGGAGUAUGUAUCUGUCUCUCUCUCUCUCUCUCUAUAUAUAUAUAUAGGUAUCUUGAACCCUUCACCUCAGCAUACAACAGGUGGAAGUUGGCAAGUACUCACAUACAUCUAUAAACUCCAUAUAUACACAUAUAGCGCCCAUAAACGUAGGCGGUAGUACAUAUACGAUAUCGUCUCUGCAGCAACCAUGUGUCGUCCUCUGAACUCCAAGGAACUGCAGCGGAUUUUUGAGAAGCUGGACAAGAAUGGGGAUGGAGUCGUGAGCGUAGAGGAGAUAAAGUGGGUUUUGGAUGGAAUCGGAGUGGCGAUUAGCUUGGAGGAGAUUGGGUUUGUAGUGGGAGGAAAAUCGAGUCUGAACUUGAAUGAGUUCAUCUCAUUCUAUGCCUCCAUUUCUUCUUCUUCUUCUUCUUCUUCUUCUUCUUCUUCUUCAAAUGGUGAUGACGACGACGACGACGACGACGAUCUUGUUAAGGCGUUUAAAGUGUUUGACAUGAAUGGGGAUGGCUUCAUAUCAUGCGAAGAGCUUCAAAUGGUGCUAUCGAGGCUGGGAUUAUGGGAUGGUAAAGAUUGCAGGGUCAUGAUUUGUGUUUAUGAUACUAAUUUAGAUGGGAUGCUCGAUUAUCAAGAGUUCAAACACAUGAUGUCCGUGCAUGCUGUUUCUUAGAUUAGUGUAUGUAUAUAUAUAUAUAUAUAUAUGUAUAUGUAUAUGUAUAAUUAAUUAGUUUCAACAAGUUUUGCCACUUCAUUAUAACAGUAUAUACACCAGACUGAGAUUAGUAGGUGAUACAUAUGUAAUUGAUUCAUUUUACAUCUUUAUACUUUUGUAUUUCUUAUAAAAUCCUAAAAUAAAUCAACUCAAAGCAGCCUACUGUUGAAUUUAAGAAUCCAGAAGAAUGUAAUUUAUCAUAAUAGCCACUCCUGUUCUUCUAUUUAUUUACUUCACGUGUUCCUACACACACAUAUAUAUAUAUAUUGAUUUCCAUUGAUCAUACAUGCACACAUACAUAUAAUACAUAUAUAUAUAUAUAUAUAUAUAUAUAUAUUGGUCGGUUCCACAGACCAAUAUAGUUUUACUUACCAAAAAAAAGACAAGUGUAAUUGCAAAUAACAUUAAAUACAAACCCAAAUUUGAAAUAUUUCUUCUUCAUUUUCAAACUUUGUUCAUAAUAAAGUUCAAAGUUUGAGCAUAAAGUCUACAUAUAUAACAAAUUGUAAAGACAACUGAAAAUUGUAUUUCAAAGUUGACUUCUUCCCCACACGUUAAAAAAAAGGGAUGCUAAAUGCACUUCAACUUUUAGAAUUAAAUUACCCUAAUCUUGAGUUUAAGCAAUUAAAUACAAUAAUUAUAUUUAGAAAACUAGUCAAUAUACCAAAAAUUAUUUGAAUACUUAGUUUUAUCUUAAUUUUAAAUUUAAUUAAUUAAAUAUAAAAAUUAUAUUUAAAUAAAUAUUCAGUCCGUUAAAAAUAUAUAACUCAAAUAACGUAAUACUUUUAUACGAAAGCAAACGAAUCAUGUUCAGUCACCCUAUAUAAAAUAAAAAAAAACUCUUCAAACAAUAUUGUUAAAUUAGAUGUUAUUUGACGUAUUAAUUAAUAUUACGUGAUAUAAUACGUUAAUACUGUAAUAUUUGUUAUGUCGCGCACUAAUACAACAACAAUAUUAAAAGCCGAAAGUUAUAUAAAAAUAUAGUUUAAAUUUUAUAAUUACCAUAUGAGAAAAAAAUUAAAUUUACAAUGACAAUCUUAAUAGUAGUCAAAAAUUCUAAGUUACGUGUAUAUAUUUUUGUUAAAUUUAAGUAAUUUUUAUUUAGUAAUAAUAUAAGAUUAGCGUAUCACGCAACAUGUUACAUAAUAGGUUACGUGGUAUUUUAUUUAACACUAUUAUUUAUAAAUUUUAGGUUAAUUAGUUAUUUAAUAUAAUUUAAAAAUUAAAAUACUUAAAAUCAAAAUUAAAAUAUCAAAUUCCAGCACAAUAUGUAUAUUCUAAUAUAUGACAAGUAAAAUUUAUUUUAAUAUUUUUGUGUUCUUAAUAUAAAAAUAUGACGUUUAUUAAAUUGUUUUAAAAAAAUAAAAUAUCUUUAAACGACACCGUUUUCCAAAAAUUUAAAAGUCAUCAUAAAUCAUUCUAUUUUUUUUUUAAACCUUUUUAAUAUUUAAUUUUUAUUUAUUUCCCGUAUAAAAAGUAUGCAUAUUAAUUAAUAUAAAAAAUAAUUGAUUUAAAAUUGAUUAGACAAAUUUCUUUUUUACAUAAUUAAAAAUAAUAAUUUUAAUUUUAGAUGUAAUGUAGGGCCUAAAAAAUAAUAUUAAUAACAAAAAGUACGUAAUAAUGAUAUCACGCGGGUGUCUGUCGGUUAAAUAUUUAUAUUCGACGGCCGCCGCAAUCCUCAUGCAACGCCGGGGAAGCGCACGGGACCCGCGCAGUACUUGUGAAGAAUAUGUGACGUAAGCGACACGUGUCCAACUAAUCACUUCUUGUCGUCUUCCCUCUGGGAUUUACUCUUCCUUCUUCCGUCUCCACUUCCCCAAUUCAUUCUCGAUCUCCCCCAAAUUCCCUCCUGCAACAUGACAAAUCUGCUUUCCACCGCCGUUGACGUUUCCAAGAACCCCAAGUCUUCCAAAUUACAGCCUUUACCUUUCUCUCCUUCUCCCUCUUUUUCCUCGCCAGCCGCUUCUUUUCUCCCUCCUUCUCCCUCUCCUCCACCGCAACUAUCACUCCAAUUCCCGCUCCGACUUUGUUUUCCCAACCGCCGCCCAGGGGAUUUCCCCCUCCUCCUCCGCCGCCGCCGCCGCCACCGCCGCCGCCACAUCCCUCGGUUAUCUGGUUGGGGUUAAUCGAUGAGAAAGGAAUCAUGUCAGACAGCUUUGACGCCGAAGGAUUUGACUCGGACGUGACUGACGAAAUCAGGGAUUCCAACCAGAAUGAAGAGGAAAUAGAGAGUAAGAACAAUGAGGUUCGCGUUAGGGUUGACAAGUACAAACCGUGCGAUCAAAGCAAGAGAGAUUACGUACCGUGUAUGGGCAACGAAGAAGAAAUCAGCAGACUCAAUGGAAGCGACCCGAGGAGAAAGGUACGAGAGGCACUGCCCGACUAACCGCUUGGAUUGCUUGGUUCCUCUGCCCAAUGGCUACAAGAUCCGCAUUCCCUGGCCCGACAGUCGAGACGAGGUGAAAUCGUGUAAUGGAAUCUCUGGAUUUUCUAAAUUAAAAUUAGUCUCAUUAUUAAUUUCUAUUUCUGUUGAACUGUGAAAAUGUAGCUGUACUGAUGCUCAAGUUUAGUGGUCAUUCUGGGUAGAGUAGCCUAUAGUAUUAGUACAUUUUUGCUUCAAAGAAAAACCCGGAAUUUUGGUUUAAAAGGUUAAGCUGUAAAAUUCGGAUAUAUGUAUACACAGAUAUGUAUCUGCGUGUGUGUGUGUAUUUAAUCAUGUUGCUUGAUCAUUGAACGAUUAGUCACUGUUUUCAAUCGGAUUUGCUCAUGUGAUUUAGCGUCUUGUUAGCAAUUGUUUGGCAAUGCCCCGAGACCCGGAAAGGAGUUUAUCUUGGAUUUGUUUAAAAAUUACAAGGCUAUCGUGUGACAGGUAUGGUUCAAUAAUGUGCCUCGCACUAGUUUGGUGGAUGACGAAGGUGACCGGAACCGGAUAGCAGUAAAGGAUGAUAAAUUCAUCUUUCCAGGAGGUGGGUCUCAGGUUAUUCACGGGGCUGAUCAGUAUUUGAAUCAGAUUUUGCAGGUCGGACUGUUUCUAAAUUUCUCCAAACGGUUUCUUUUUCUAUCUGCUCUAGAUUGAUUUUGUCGUGUCCUAGAUUGAUCCUGCAGAUGGUUCCCGACAUUGCAUUCGGACAACGCACCCGAGUUGCCUUAGAUAUUGGUUGUGGAGUUGCAAGUUUUGGUGCCUUUUUGUUCCAGCAUAAUGUGACUACUCUGUCCAUAGCACCAAAAGAUAUACAUGAGAACCAGAUUCAAUUUGCACUGGAACGCGGUGUGCCUGCAAUGAUUGCAGCAUUUGCUACUCGCAGAUUACCGUACCCAAGCCAAGCUUUUGACUUGAUUCAUUGUUCGAGAUGCAGAAUUAAUUGGACUCAUGAUGGUACUUAUUUUUCUUUGCCUUUACAUUCAGUAUUUUGCAUGAGACAUUUUCAAACCGUUGAGAAGAAACAUUUUGCAUUACCAUCCGGAUACAUUUAUUGACAUCUUUGAGCUGUCAAAUCUGGCAACAGAAUUUAGACUUAUCUGGUUGCACUUGCAUUCUGUUGAAAAUAACUAUACUGUUUAUGAGAGAAAUAAGACCCUUGACAUGAUUAUGAGCUUCGUGGCCCCUUGUUUCCCUUUGGCUUUGAUGUAGAUGGAAUUUUGCUUCUUGAGGCUAACAGGAUGCUCAGGGCAGGAGGGUACUUUGUAUGGGCUGCGCAAUCUGUAUAUAAGCACGUAGAGAAACUACAGGAACAGUGGAAAGGUAGCUUUUCAUGUUAGUAUCCACAUGAUGGGUUUCAUGCAGUUAUAUCCUACAUAUUCAAAUUUUGAGAAUUCCUUUUUUCUGUUUUCUAAAAUUAGCAUGCAGAUAUACCUUGGUUGGUUCAGUGCUCCUUGCUGUUUUUUUCACUAUUAGUAGCAGCACAGGAGUAUUUAUUUUGCAUUUAAUAGAACCAUAACCUAUUAGCACUUGAGAACUGGGUGUUUUAAAAUGCUCAGAUUCAUUUUUGGUUCUUAACUUGCAGAAAUGACAGACCUUACCACUCGAAUUUGUUGGGAGCUUGUAAAGAAAGAAGGAGAUAUUGCUGUGUGGCAGAAGCCUUUAAACAAUAGCUGUUAUAUUAAUCGCAAAGCUGGAGUGCAGCCUCUGUUAUGUGCUCCCCAGGAUGAUCCCGACCAUGUUUGGUAUGCUUGCUUCAAACCUUCAAGUUCCAGUCAUAUAAUGUCAAUCACAUUAGUAAAUAUUUCUUGUGCCUUAAUCUUUCAAUUGAAAAUUUUCUCUAACUUGUGCAAUUUAUAAGCCCCUUUUAUCUCAUUGAUCCAAGUAUCAGAAAUUGAUGCUAGGAAUUUAGAACUGGUAAGAUUCUGUUAGCUGUUACCUUUGUCUCAUAACUUGAUGGUAUCAUAAUUGCAAAAAAAAUAGCUAAAAAGAGACUUUUCUUUUUCUGGUAGAAAGCAUAUUUGCAGGGUUUACCCACCCGCAUAAGGUGAACUUUAGGCCACGAUGAAUGCCCCAUAAAGGACAGACUUUUGAGCCUAGAGCUUUAGUAUCAGACAGGAUUCUCCUCCCUGCUUUUGUAGAGCCCUAGCUAUUAAUCAACAUAGCGUGCCUUUCCAGCCAAUAAAACUGGACUUAGAAAUUUACUUGUUUUUGGUUAAAUCUUAUAAUUAUGUCUUCCCAUGUUGAAAUCUAUUUAUCAUAUGUUUGCAUGAGAUCAUCUCUAGCAUUAAGGAAUGAAGAUGCUGGGAAAAGGUUAUUGGCUCCACUAACCUGAUUUAAACUUUCAUUGAAGGAAUAUCUGAAACGAAUAAACUUCAUUUGUUGAGUUCAUCUAAACAGUUUAUGCUUAAUUUAGAUCUGUGAGCUGGCAAAAAUUUCUUCCAAAAGGAUGAAAAUUGAACUCCCUAGAAAAUUUCAAGUGGUAUUUGAACAACUUUCAUAAUUUAAAAGGAAUUUUCACUUUCUCAUAGUUUAAAGAAGUGUAAAUUUUUCAAAUGAAUUCUGUGAAUGAAGGUCAUUUAUUCUAAAAAGUCUAAACAUAGCCUCAAUAUCAAUCAGUUUUCAUUUACUUAUAAAUACAUAGACUCAACCGUAGCGAAUGAGCAAUUUCCACUAGAGUUAUUUUUGGUUGCUUAAUGGGACAUAACUUUUGCUUGUUCAGUCUGUUCUUGAUGUUCCACAAAAGUACAUGCAGAUUGCUUAACCAAUGAGCCAAAUCAAGUUUAACGCAUCUUAAAUAAUCAAUAACAAGUUUUGAUGCCUUUUGCAGGUACAUUGGUUUGAAGCCAUGCAUAACUCGACUUCCUGAAAAUGGUUAUGGGGGUAAUGUUACUACAUGGCCUGCACGUCUUCACUCUCCACCUGACAGGCUUCAGAGUAUAAAAAUGGAUGCUUACACAUCCAGAAAGGAAGUAUUCAGAGCAGAGUCAAAUUAUUGGAAUGAAGUAAUAGAUAGCUAUAUCCGUGCUUUCCGUUGGAAAGGAUUCAAACUACGGAAUGUGAUGGACAUGAGAGCUGGACUUGGCGGGUAUAAUAUACAUAGAAUUGUAAUAUCUUGAAAUUACUACUACAUAAUUAUAAGUCGUGAAGCUUUUAUCUGAUUUCCGUAUGUUUUCUAACUGAAAUAAAUGUUAUGACUUUUUGAUUAUUUUGGUUAUGCCAGGUUUGCAGCAGCAUUAAAUGAUCUGCAGAUUGAUUGCUGGGUUAUGAAUGUUGUUCCUGUCAAUGGUUUCAAUACCUUGCCUGUUAUUUAUGACCGUGGACUUGUAGGAGUCAUGCAUGACUGGUAGGGAUAAUGCAUAUUCCACUCUGCUUUGCAAUUUUGCUUCACAAAACCUUAUUUAUGUGGCAAAUUUAUAGCUCCUUUUUCCCGUUUCAAUUUUGUCUAUGUAGUGCUAUUCCAUCACAUUAACUAAUGCCAGUCAUAUCAAUGCAUGACGUCUAUGCUUCUGUUGAUCAUCAAUAUAACUUCACCUUACCAUCCUUCUCUUUAAAUCACUAAUAAGACACAUGAUGAUAAGAAUGUUCAGGAUGAAAUGAAGCAAGAGUUGAUAUCUGCAAAAAGAGAGUAAAAAGAAAUCAAAGUAAAAUAAUGCAUUAGAACAUCUUUUAGUGUGCCCUUCCACCCCAACCCCGCGUCCCCCACCCCCAAAGAAAAUAUACUUAGUCAUCACCACAUCCUAAAAAUGGAGUUUAGUAAAAAUCCAGAAGAAAAACCUGAGGGCGCUAAAUCUAGCAGUAUGAUAGCAUGAGUUUAUAUUUACCAAUACAACUAAAGGCACUUGUAAAUUGGCAAGAUUGUUAUCUUUAAUUUAUAGUCUGUUAAGCAACUGGUAUUGUCUAUUUAAUUAGUCUAAAACUUGAAGUUUCAACGCACAUCUAUAACAGUUUGCACUUGUUUCUCAAUCAUAAUAAUAUGUUGUUUUGAAACAAUUCUCAAUAAUAAUAAUAACAAUAGAAGUGUUUGCAUGUAAACUGGAGUUCUUUAGGCUAUGAUAUGAAGUUUGAUUGUAUAAUCUUUCUCAAUUUCAUGCCUUUCUUGCCAAGGUCUUGAGCUCUGCUCAUAAUUUUGAAAUUUUAUUUCCUAGGUGUGAGCCAUUUGAUACUUAUCCCAGGACAUAUGACUUACUGCAUGCAGCAGGCCUGUUCUCCAUCGAAAAGAAGAGGUAUAAGCUCUUGAUGUUCUAUGAUUCUGGCUCAUUAUCUUUUUAUUUCGUCCUGGAACAUAUUUUGAGAUAAAUUUGUUGUCUGUUAUUGGUUCAGAUGCAAUAGCUCAAUCAUCAUGCUCGAGAUGGAUCGAAUGCUAAGACCUGGGGGACAUGUUUAUAUAAGAGACUCCGUAGAUGUUAUGGGUGAACUACAGGAACUAGCAACUGCCAUGGGAUGGGCAGCUGGACUGCAUCCCACAAGUGAAGGCCCCUACGCAAGCUGGAAGAUUUUAAUAUGUGAGAAACGCAUGUGACAUGCCUGGCAUCCUGGAAGCUGGAGAAAACUACAUGCAUCAUUCCUUUUGCCACAAACUGGGAUGAAUUAGAAAUUGAAUGCUAUCAUACAUAGGGGAUGUGUAAUUCUAUCUGUAGACUUUCAGCAUAAUGGUAAGGUUCAGAAUCUCAUUGGAAUAAUAUGGCGGAGACGGGGGUGUCUUAUGGAAAUAGGAAAACAGAAGGGAAUGGUUUUCUUUUUUCAAGUUCGUUUGUUCUAAUUUGUUGCCAAUUGGUAGGGCUAGGGAGUUUGUAUAAUGUUGAAUACUUAAUUGUACAGACACGGGGUUUGGCCCCAAUUGUCAGUUCUCCCCUACCAUAUUCUGUGGGUGAGUCCUUGAUCUAACUGGAGCCAGAGUUUUUCUUCUUUCAGGGUGACAUAUUAUUUGAGGAUUUAUGGGAACAGUAAGGAAUAAAUAUUAAAGAGCCACUGUACUCUUUAAAUUUUCAAUAUUGACCCGUACAUUUUUUUUUUGGUCUAGAUACACCUUUGAAUUUUCAAAUUAGUCUUGAUUGGUCCCUUAAAAUUUUCAAAUUAGAUGGUGUGUUCACGUCAAUAUAACCGAUGACAACCGAGGAUGCGAUGAUGAGGGGAAGGGAAGCUCUUUGCGACAAAGCUGAAGAAGAGAGAAGAAAGGAGACCCACAAUGUGGAUGAGUUUUGAAAAACCACAUUCCAUAUUUUUGUGAACUACAAGGUAUAUAAGUUGGAUUUAUGAGUUUGCUUUUUUGCCUCACACAUUCAGAUUCGACAUUUCUAUGCAAAGAUUUUCCGCAAAGACCUUAAAAACAGGAGCAUAGAAAGAUAUUUUUGUGAACUAAAUCAUUAAUGCAAUCUAACAAGAAGAGGUACCAUAUAGACUUCGCUGAAAAGAAAAAGCUUCUGAUUGCAACAGGAAGUUCGAAACUCGAUGUACAUGGAUGGCUUCUCUACAUUAACCUAGUAGUCGUAUCCCUGCAACUCUUACUCGAUAGCGAGCCUCAACCCAAAAAAGCUUGUGUCUUGUUAAUCAUUGUUGUCAAAAUAAUAAAUGAGAUCUUAAGCUAUUUGUCUUUAAAUCUUUAGCAUUCUUUUACCACUUAAUAGGGUUAAGUUAGAAGGGGUGAAGCAAUUAGAUAGUAUCACCACAUGGAAAGUCAGUGUGGUGUUAACAGUAGCUAAAAUGGAAGUGAAGACAAAGAAUCAAAAUGGUAGUACAAAAACAACAAUAUUGAUGGAAUAAAAUGACAUUGAUAACAAUAAUGAUAAUAGGAUUAAAAUAUUAGUAGAGAUAGUGAUUAUAAUAAUAAUGAUACCAGUUCAAUAAUAAUAGUAAAGAGAAUAAGAAUAUUUGCGACAAUAACAGUAAAUAUUAAUAGUAACAAUAAUAAUAACGAUGGACAACUAUCUCAAAGUUGACAAUUUUGAAGGCAGUAGAAAUAGCGGCGAGAAUAGAGAAGGUAGCAAGAGAAAUAAUAGUGACGGUCAUUAAAUUACUGAUGAUAAUAGUAAUUAUAGUGAUAAUGAUAAUUAUACUAUUUUUGCUAUGAGAAAAAAAAUCUUAAAAAGAAAGACAGCGUCUUACCAUAUCCACAAAAAAUUUUCUCCUAAACAUUGAAUAGGAUAGGCUUCGUGAUAGAUCCUUCUAAUAAUUAAUUAAAUCCUGUGUAUACAUCAAUCAAGAGGAGAACAUAUACGCAAUAUUCAGCUUAAAAGCUAAAUGUGAGGCAUAAAUGGGUUAUGGCUUCACAGAUGGAUCCCUGUGGGCUGCAGUAUUAACCUGUUUGGAAAGAUAGGCCUCAUAUACUUCCACUACAAGCCGUGGAUCCUUCUCCACAAACUCUGCAUACUCCUCUAGUUUUGUAAACUUGUCCAUGUUGUCUAUGAUCAAUGACAAUGCUGCAUCAAGCAUUUGCUUUGCGUUAUGCUGAUGCGCAAAGGCAUAGUUCAUGAGACAAUUGUUCCAGUUCAGCUUGGAUACCAGGAACUUCUCACAGUGAGCUUUAAGGUGUUUUACCUGGUACUUUUCUGCCAGUACUACAAGGUCGUAGGCCAUUCGUUCAUCAAGGCAUGCCUCCGCAGUGUAUAAAUAAUUGAUAAAUGCACGAAGAGCCUCGUAUGAGACAUCACUGAUCUUGAUUGUUCCGCUUCUACUUUCUUCCAUUUCAUUCUCAAGCAUUGCUUUAAAUACUGGGGAACGGCUCACCUGAUAACAAGUGAAUGAAAAUAUUCAAAUGGAAUUCAAGUAACAUCUUUGAAGAUAUAUCAUCCAAUCCAAUUUCGCAAAGCAGAGUAUAUGAACAAUGCAUUGCUUAAAUUCUAAAAAAAAAAAUUGUAAAUGGAUAUAUCUCACAUUUGCAACUCAAAGAUUUGUCAAAUAGACAUAGAUGAUCAGGAGCAUUUGACAACAUAUGAGAAAUUAUCCAGAGGAAAAGCCAAAGUUCUUAAAGAGGGGUCUUCAAAUCCACAUGUAAGUAGCAGAAAACCAAGCAUUCAUCAUUCUCGACUUUAAGACACCCAUUAAUUCCAAUACAUUUUUCAUGUUCUGCACCACCUUGCUAAUUACGUAAAACCCAUACCACAGAUAAUUGAAGGAAAUUACCCCUGUGCUAAAUUGUUUAGGCAACACACAUAUACUUCAAGGUCCCAUGUAAUAAAUGGCAUGCUAUUUACCAAAAAAAGAAAAGAGUAGAGAAUUUUAAUCCAUGGCUAAUCAUGGUAGAAAGAGCUUAUCACGUUCACAAUAGGAACUUUGGCGAAGAAGUGCAACUUUGAUUUUCUUAUAAAAUGGGAUAUUCUUGCAGAAAAGAAAGAAAAGGACAUAACUCAGAUCUCAGAAUUUAGAGUAGAAAGAAAAAUGCUAUUAAAAAAGCGACUCGGCCAUCAGAGAAUGUAUGAAUGAUCCCACAACGUAAACAUCAUAGAUUAAAAACCUUCCAUUUCCAGAAGAUUUAGGACCUGCCUUAUCAGUUCGGAGCUACAUGCAAACUUGAAAGGUACAACAAGGAGAGUAGAUAUAAUACAAAGAAUAUAGAUGAUAUAACAUACUUAUGGCAGGACUUAUGGAACUUUUGAUAAGUCCAAAUAGUUGGCACCGAGGAACUAAAUUUUGAGAAGGCAUGCCUGUUGGAUUUAUGCAAGCUCAAUUCUAUAUGCAUUCCCACAUUAAUUCAAGAUACCAAGCUUUCAACAUAGUGCAGUCCAUAUUCUUCAUAAAUACAACUGCAAAGUUAGCAAAAAAACCACACAUAGGAUAUUCUUUGACCCAGAAGAACUGAAUAUAUUAUCAAAAUCAAGCAAGAUGAUCAUUUGCAGCAAGGCACUGAAUGAACACACAUUUCACAGAUAUGAUAGUCCAUUUUAAAAAGCAUCAUAUGAGUCGGUGAUGUUGAUAUUUCAUUUAGAAAAAUCACCAAAUAAGCUAGCUUUGGAUCUCAUGGCAAUUCUGAAAUGCCAAUAUUUUCAAAAAUGCAGUGCUAAACAUUUACAAACUAUAAGCUGCAAUUUCUGACCUCACAGUUGAAGUUUACAAAAGACAAGAUGCAACUUCCACCCAUAAGAACUGAAUAUAUUAUCCAAAUCAAGCAAGAUGAUCAUUUGCAGCAAGGCAAUGAAUGAACAUACAUUUCACAGAUAUGAUAGUCCAUUUUAAAAAGCAUCAGAUGAGUUGGUGAUGUUGAUAUUUCAUUUAGAAAAAUCACCAAAUAAGCUAGCUUUGGAUCUCAUGGCAAUUCUGAAAUGCCAAUAUUUUCAAAAAUGCAGUGCUAAACAUUUACAAACUAUAAGUUGCAAUUUCUGACCUCACAGUUGAAGUUUACAAAAGACAAUAUGCAACUUCCACCCAGAAGAACUGAAUAUAUUAUCAAAAUCAAGCAAGAUGAUCAUUUGCAGCAAGGCACUGAAUGAACACACAUUUCACAGAUAUGAUAGUUCAUUUUAAAAAGCAUCAGAUGAGUCGGUGAUGUUGAUAUUUCAUUUAGAAAAAUCACCAAAUAAGCUAGCUUUGGAUCUCAUGGCAAUUCUGAAAUGCCAAUAUUUUCAAAAAUACAGUGCUAAACAUUUACAAACUAUAAGCUGCAAUUUCUGACCUCACAGUUGAAGUUUACAAAAAACAAGAUGCAACUUCUACCCAGAAGAACUGAAUAUAUUAUCAAAAUCAAGCAAGAUGGUCAUUUGCAGCAAGGCACUGAAUGAACACACAUUUCACAGAUAUGAUAGUUCAUUUUAAAAAGCAUCAGAUGAGUCGGUGAUGUUGAUAUUUCAUUUAGAAAAAUCACCAAAUAAGCUAGCUUUGGAUCUCAUGGCAAUUCUGAAAUGCCAAUAUUUUCAAAAAUGCAGUGCUAAACAUUUACAAACUAUAAGCUGCAAUUUCUGACCUCACAGUUGAAGUUUACAAAAGACAAGAUGCAACUUCCACCCAUUAUUCACUUCCUUUUGCUAGUAUUUGUAUUAUUCCCAAGUGAUCUACAUAUGAAAAUCAAAGAGAUAUAAACAAAAUUCCCUUAACUUGAGAGACCAUUAAUUUAAGAUAGUCAGCCCGUAUUUUCAAAAGAGGAAAAACAUUUGAUAUAAGUAUAAGAUCCUAUAUUAACUGUUUUUGAUAUGCAACAGGGAUUCAAAGAACUCGCUGUUAAACAUGUUGUAAUUAUCAACAACCAACCAAUCAUCAAACUAAGAAAGCAUAUUAACAUAAUAGAUUAUACAUGUUAUAGAGUGAACUACAUUUACCACUCAGUAGACAUGUAAGACUGAAUAAGCCAUUCUAAGAACAAAUCGUUAUACUGUAUAUCAUUAUAUCGUAACACAAACAACCAGAUGGUUUAGUCGACAUCUGCUUAAUUGUGUAAUCAUCAAACACCCGUAUAUUCAACAUACUAGACCAAGCUAAGCUAGUCAGGCAAAUUAGACAAAUAGACGAGAACAAGGAACAAACCAGAAGAGCCUUAUGCGCCGGGACCGGGGUCCCAUCCGGACCGUCGUCGGCAGCAAUCAAAACCACGUCGGUGAAGGAAGGACAUGUAAACCUGCCGUAGCUGUGAUCAAGUGGCGACCAAAACCUCAGAAAAGCAACUUUGGCCUUGAGAUCUUCGAUCUCCCGCUUGAGUUCCUCCUCAUUCUCGCUGGCCUCCUCAUAGCACUCCUUGCAGGUCCCAGCAUCGCGUGUGUUGUACUCCUCCUUGCACGAUAAGCAACGCAUGGAAUCGGAAUCGGAAUCGGAAUCGUGAUUAAUGACCCCGUCGGAGUUAUGACGAGUUCUCAUCUUUAUGGUUUUGGGAGUUGAAGAGAGCUGUCGUAAGAACAGGGGUUUAUAUAUUAUUAUAAAUUUUAUGGGAAAUAAAUUGAAUUAAAUAUAUAUUUAUAUUUAUAUCAUCUAUUAAUUAAUAUUCUAUUUAAUAUUAAAAUAUAAUUUUGUAAUAUUAAUUUUGUACUAAAUUUUCCUAUUAAAUAUAAAAAUAUAUAUGUUUGAGGUUAACAGAACUUCAAUUUAAAGAAAUAAUUCAUUUUAACUAAAAUAAUAUUUCUAUUUUUACUAUAAUUUUUGUUCGAAUAGAAGCUAAAAAUAAUUAAAAUUACGCAAUCUGAAUCUAUUGUAAGUGAUCUAUUAAAUAUUCGUUAAGAAACUUGAUACAGUUUAGAAAAUAUGUUAGGUGCUCGAGCUCGUCUAAUUUAAUUAUCAUUCUUUUCCUUAUAAUCGAUGCUAACUGACAUACUUUUACUAUAAUAAGAUGUCGUUACUCUAAUUAUGCAAUUUUAUGCAAGUAAUUAUAUCGAACAACACAAAAUUAAGGCUUAUAACACAAGGUGUGCAAAAUAAAAACCUAAAAUAAUAAUAAAUAUCAAACAUCCCAUAUAAAGAUAUAUUAUAAUGCUUGUACCUAGUUUCACUCGUAAAAAGAGUUACAUUGUGAUACGAAAAAAAAUAAUUAAAUAAAUAAAUAACUCAUUCAAUGUAUCAAUUAUUAAUAAACUCGUUAAUUUUUAUUUUUCUUUUUCUAAAUAGAAGAUCCUCUAAAACAAGGAUUGACACCUGUACGUCACGUAUGACUGUCGUGCCUGGAUUCAUUCAUUUACCUAGAGAGAAAUAUAUUAUAGAGUUGGAUUUUAAAAUAAGAAUUAAGAUGCUACUAAUUAUAAUAUGAAAAAUUUACAAGUUUAUAAUCAUUAUUGAGACAAGGGAGACAAAUUCUAAUAAAAUAGAUAACAUAGACACAUCAUGUUAGCUACUAUAAAGUUUUUAAUAUUAUAGGGUGUCUUUUAAUUUUAUUUUAACUGGAAAUUAAUUAUAUAUUUCGUGUUCGAAAUGUGUAUAAUACAAAAUAUUUAAUUUUUUUAUUCAUUGAUAAUUAUGCACGUGUUAUUUAUUUAUUUUCGCAUAAGAGUUAAUUUUUAUUUUGUUGGUUCGUUUUGCUUAUUUUAUUAAAUAGUUGAUUCUCUUAUCGAGCAAUUUAAUGAUUAACAAAAGUCCCCAAGGUUUUCAGAGGUUCAUCUUUUCUUAUGUAGAUAAUUGGACUGUGGGAAGGAGGUCGAGUUGUACCUCGUCCCCAUUAUUAUUGACCACUUGCAAAAAGAGGAUUAAGUUCCCUAUCAUCUUCAAACAUUAUUGUUUCGAACAUCUUCUUCUUCUUUCCUGUUGAAUGGAAGUUUAAAUUUUUUUAAUUUGUAGGAACUAUUUAUUCUUAGAUGUUAUUAUUAUUUUUUGUAGUGGAUUGGUUAGAAGACGAAUAUUAAAGACAUUGAAUCGUAUAUUUAUCUUUUUUUGAUUCACGUGUAUUAUAAUUACGUUAUUCUAAUACUGUUUGUGACGAUAGAAGAAUUUUUAAUUACACAUCUAAAAUCGAGUUUUUUUUUUAAAAAGUACCAAAAAUAAAAAAAAUAAAAAAUAUUUAAUGUACUAAGUUAUUGUUUCAUCGUAAAAUAAUAAUAAUUAUAAUUUAAAUACACUACAUUAAUUAAAUUACAUAAAUUAGAAUAUAAUUUACUUUAUUUUUUUAAUAAUAUAAUAUGUUUCCAUGUAAUUUAUAAAAAGUAAAUAAUUUAUAAUAUAAAAUAUUAAUUUUUGAUAAUUACAAUUAUUUUUUAUUUUAUCUAUAUAUUAUACAUCUCGGACAUAACACAAACAUAUACUAAAUAUCUACUUAGAUUAAUUUAUUUAAAUUUAUUAAUUCAUAAUUUUAAGAUCAUCAUAUGUAAUAUAUAUAUAUAUACAAAUAUUUUGAUAAUAUCAUAUUUAAUUAAUUUAGUAGUAAAUUUUUUUUAUUUAGAUUAAGUACGUAAUUAUCAUGGGAAGACAAAGAUAUUGCUCCUUCGAUAGAGGCGGUUAUGUUUGGCCGAACGUGGGAUUCGAAAAGCCGGACUUUUCAAAGACUUAAAUGUUACACGUCAGUUUCCCAUCUGCCUCCACCGGGUCGUCCAGUAUCAGAUCCGACCCGAACUAUAUAAGAAAGGGUGUAAAAGAGGAAAACAGAAAUAAAACUGGCAGUACACACCACUCUGUUCCAAAUUUUUUUAAAAAAACUAAAGACACGGAUAAGACCCCCCCAGUCUGCAUACUGCCGAGUUCUUACGGAAAAUUUUCCUGAGAUUUGAUUUUAGGGUUUCAGUUGUUUCUGCUUCUUGGGCUCUAAAUUGUCCAUUCAGGUAAGGUUUUCGCUUCUCUCUGUGCAAGUAUGUUUUGAAUUUAGUCUUUAUUUUGCUCUGUUUGGCAGGUUGGAUAAUGUAGGAGAACAUGCGGAAAACAUGGUUCCGAAAGUCUUUAGUUUAGUAUCUUGAGGCCUUUCAAGAAAACAAAUUAUGCCUGUGAAACUUGCUUCUUGUACUUUUCUUGCUUUGUUUACUGUCUGUCUCUCCAAGUGAACAAGAGCUUUAGGAAUUGGUUUUCCCCCAAGACUUUUUCUCCCAUUUCUUGGCAACCAAACGGAGGAUUUUCUGGUUUUUUUUUUUUUUUUUUUUUCCUUCAAUACUUUUCUUUUCUUGUUUCUGUUUUUAUGUAGUGAAUAAUGUAUUUGAAAAUUCAUUUAAACCUUUUGAAUCUUUGAAGGUUCAUGUUAUGGUAAAACCCUAAUUUCGUGGUCAAAAGCUUGAGAAAUUAGGAUUUCUUGUCAGUUGUGGAUAUGAGUUUUGAGGAGGCAACAUGCAAUGGAGAUGGUAUGGAAUGCAUUCAGGGGGUACAGUUCUUGAAAAGUAAAGCAGUGGCUAGUGCAUGUGAAGUCACUGUUAUACGUAAUUCUGGGAAUGGGAGCACUAGCACAAGAGAAGGUUUUCUAACCUACAAGAGGAGGAGGUAUGCUGGGCAGAGUUUGGGGAGCAAAGUGCUAGGAUGUGGCAGAAAUUCUGUUGAAGCAGCUAGUCAAUUGGCAGGCCAGGUAUACAAAGAUGUUCUUUGCUACGUGUUUAUCAGAUUAUUUCUUGUUGGAUUUUACCGGUCAUAAAGUUAUUUGUUCACAUUUUCUUCGUAUUUCAAAAAAUUAUUUGUGAUUUUGAGCUUUUGAAGUACAAGGAUCUCUAAAAUGGUAUUGUGCAAGUUCGAACAUAAACUCAGCUUUUGUUGAACUAUAAACACAAUAGACAAGCGUCCAGAAGAUUUUGGAAUUUCUUUGGUUUUUUGAAUUAACAAAAUAAAGCUGCAUCCACGGAGAUUUUUAUUAGUAUGAGGCUCCUGUCCAAGGAUAUCUUAGAAAUGACUGAUUUGGUGUGGCUUUGGCAGUAGGAUGAACAUGAAAGGCAUCUAUCUUCAUGUGAAGUGAGGAUGGCCAUUCACAUAAUAGAGAUCUUUGCUACAAAUAAAAUUUAUUUAUUUAAUAAACUCUGUGUAGUGGUUUGUGAUUUCAAUUGAAGUUCUAAGACAGUAGUUAGGGCUUGAGUGCCCCAAUAGCAUUCACUGUUCUCACAAUGAAUUGCAUUCCUGUCUGGUAUAUAGAGAGAAAAUGUCACUCUAGAGCUCUUCUUGUUCAAUUUAAGACACGUAUGGACUUUAGGGAACUAAGGAAUCUUUUACUUUCUGUGCCAUGUUAAUGAUCCAGAACUUUAUUUCAUGGCUUUUAAUUUGCUGUAUAAGUGUUCUCUUUCAUAUGAUGCCUUAAAUGGAAAGGAAGAUGACAUAUAAUUUUGGGCGCUUUUUAGAGUUAUUAUGCUUGUUACAUAUUGAAAAAUGUGUUGCUUUCAGGUCAACUGAAAAAUCAUCUCCUUUUCUACAUUGUUUUCAUUUCAUUUGCUGGAUAACAUUCUUCCUCUUCUUCUGCAGGAUAAGAAAAUAAGAACAGCUUAUGCAUGUGAACAAUAGAUUCUUGGUGCUUGAAAUUCAUAUAUGUUUUGGAGUAAAAAGUGUGCUUGGUGCUUGAAAUUCUUGAGUUCCUAAAAUUGUAUGUACGGCGCUUGUAGGUCGGAAUGCAUAUGCGGUUUUCAUGUUUGUUAGGAUACGAUGUAUAUAACAUACGAAGAUGACUUUCUCCCCAGUGAGAGUUGUUUGGUGGGUAAGAAAUAACUCAUUCACUGUUAGGGGGAGUCAGCACCAAUAGGGGACAAAUUAACAGAAGAGUAUCUUAGAUAAUUUGGCAUGUCCAAUAUGGGACCACAGAUGUACAAAUGUGGAAGUUAGUUUUAGAAGAUUUAAUCUGAAGACGUAUCUUCAAUAAUCUCACUGAAAAGACGAUUCUUGCGUGGUUGUCUGGAUGAAGAGUAUUGUUUAGCUUUUUCCUGACUAGUCCAUAAUCAAGCAACAGUUGGGUUGAUGAUUUGUAGAUAUCUGAUACUUAAUCUUGAUAUGCAUCAUAUAAAUGAGCUUGCAAAAUCUUGAUGCAGAAAUUAACCUUAAUGGUUCAAUGUGCUCUUUCUUUAUCAGAAACUGAACAAAUAUAUCAUUCAAAGGGAUUGCAGUUGUGACAAAUAAAAAAAUAUGAUAUACAAUAUGCUGAAAGACAAAAAUGUCAAUUACAUCUUUUAAAUCCUCCCUACUCAUGAGAUGAUGUCCUUGGAAAGAAUAAACAGGUUCUGCAAUCAUAGAUGCAUGAUCCUACAAAAAGGGGAAGGAAGAGCAUCACGAAGCCCUUCCUAUCUGCUGAAUGACCAAAAGGAUUGCCAAAGAUUAGAGAGAAAAACCAUUUGCAUUUGAUCCACGAAUCCAUUCCGAGCCCAAAGCUCUUUCGUAACUGAAGCCCAACCACCCAACUAAUAUUGAGAAAGCCUAAAUUAUCCUGGGCAGUUGAUUUUUUUUUUCUUUUUUCUGGUGGGGGAGGGAUGGGAAGGGGGGAAAUCCCUGUUGCAAAGGAAGUAGCCAUUGACUUAAAUAGUUCUUGACUGCUGGAUUCUUUUAGGGGGAAACCGGAUGUGAGAAGACUUGAUACUUAAAACCUUUGUUGUGUGCUUAUAUCUCUUUCUGAUUCUUGAUAAUUAAUGAUACUUUUUACUUCUUGUUGCAAAAACAUCAUAGACUGCAUAAAUNNNNNNNNNNNNNNNNNNNNNNNNNNNNNNNNNNNNNNNNNNNNNNNNNNNNNNNNNNNNNNNNNNNNNNNNNNNNNNNNNNNNNNNNNNNNNNNNNNNNNNNNNNNNNNNNNNNNNNNNNNNNNNNNNNNNNNNNNNNNNNNNNNNNNNNNNNNNNNNNNNNNNNNNNNNNNNNNNNNNNNNCAAAAAAAGUUAUCUCUUCACUUUCAUUUGGAAGAUUAUGAUGAAUGCUUGGUUUUUACAAGUUCUACAGUUUCCAGGGAUUCUUUUGGUGUUUGCCAUAAGCAUGUAUUAACUUUCACUAUAGUAGACAAUCAACCUUGUGACAUGUUCUAGCACUGAUAAUCUGUUAUGUUUGAAAUAUUGCAUGAAGUUAUGCAUUUCCUUGACUCAUCAUGUGGAAGUAACACAUUUUCCUUUAUAAUCACAUUGUAUCAUCAUUAACACAUUAGUUCUUUUGUGACUUUUCAUUCAAUACUUUUUACAUUAUUGAAAACUAAGAAGCACCAGUAUUUAGGCACUCCUAUGUGCAACCAAACACCAUAUGCUUUUUGUGGAUCAAUAGGUCAACUGUUUUGAUAUAUAUAUAUAUAUAUAUAUAUAUAUAUUAUUCUCAUGCAUCAACUUUUUUCUCAUGUAGUCUUUCGUUGUUCUCAUUUUUCUGUAUCCGGGUUAAUGUUCAACUUCCUAGUUCUCUUUUGCAAUUCUAAGAGCUUUUACCUGUUGGAAUCUCAGCAUUCUGCUAGAGGCUAUUUCGGGUUAAAACGUUUCCUAUCAGUAUUGAUGUUUGCGGUGAUGACAUCAAACUGUGCAAGGGGAGACAUUUUGGUUGAUGGGAUGAUUUAACUGCUUUAUGUCUUUUCUACAUCUCUUCUAGAGUUCCAUGCUUUUCUUCUGGAACGAAAAGUUCCUUAUGUAUUUUGUGCCUGAUCCACUUUUGAGUUAUCUCUUACAAUCACAAAAAAGCUGAGAAGGAAACAAAUAAGUAUUUGUUUUAUCUGACGCAUGAAGAUAGCUUAUGAUUGAUUAUUACCUCUAUUCCUCGUCUUCUCUCCCAUUCUCUCAGUAUUCUUUACUUCUCACUAUCCAUUAUCAUUGAGAUGUUUCCUUCUCCUGAAUUCAGCUAGAUUGGGAUUCAUAAAAAUAAGGGAAUUUUCAACUUCUUCAGAACAUCUAUUCCCCAUCUACUUAAUAGUAAGCUAUAAUGAGCCUUUCUUAGACUUUCAACGAAAUCAGACUUUUAUGUGACUUCCAGUCAUCUUUUAGGGUCUAUUCCAAAUUAUAUUAUAUUUUCUGUAUUAUAUUCUCUGCUUGCAGGAGUUCCUUAUGGCUGAAUAUGANNNNNNNNNNNNNNNNNNNNNNNNNNNNNNNNNNNNNNNNNNNNNNNNNNNNNNNNNNNNNNNNNNNNNNNNNNNNNNNNNNNNNNNNNNNNNNNNNNNNNNNNNNNNNNNNNNNNNNNNNNNNNNNNNNNNNNNNNNNNNNNNNNNNNNNNNNNNNNNNNNNNNNNNNNNNNNNNNNNNNNNNNNNNNNNNNNNNNNNNNNNNNNNNNNNNNNNNNNNNNNNNNNNNNNNNNNNNNNNNNNNNNNNNNNNNNNNNNNNNNNNNNNNNNNNNNNNNNNNNNNNNNNNNNNNNNNNNNNNNNNNNNNNNNNNNNNNNNNNNNNNNNNNNNNNNNNNNNNNNNNNNNNNNNNNNNNNNNNNNNNNNNNNNNNNNNNNNNNNNNNNNNNNNNNNNNNNNNNNNNNNNNNNNNNNNNNNNNNNNNNNNNNNNNNNNNNNNNNNNNNNNNNNNNNNNNNNNNNNNNNNNNNNNNNNNNNNNNNNNNNNNNNNNNNNNNNNNNNNNNNNNNNNNNNNNNNNNNNNNNNNNNNNNNNNNNNNNNNNNNNNNNNNNNNNNNNNNNNNNNNNNNNNNNNNNNNNNNNNNNNNNNNNNNNNNNNNNNNNNNNNNNNNNNNNNNNNNNNNNNNNNNNNNNNNNNNNNNNNNNNNNNNNNNNNNNNNNNNNNNNNNNNNNNNNNNNNNNNNNNNNNNNNNNNNNNNNNNNNNNNNNNNNNNNNNNNNNNNNNNNNNNNNNNNNNNNNNNNNNNNNNNNNNNNNNNNNNNNNNNNNNNNNNNNNNNNNNNNNNNNNNNNNNNNNNNNNNNNNNNNNNNNNNNNNNNNNNNNNNNNNNNNNNNNNNNNNNNNNNNNNNNNNNNNNNNNNNNNNNNNNNNNNNNNNNNNNNNNNNNNNNNNNNNNNNNNNNNNNNNNNNNNNNNNNNNNNNNNNNNNNNNNNNNNNNNNNNNNNNNNNNNNNNNNNNNNNNNNNNNNNNNNNNNNNNNNNNNNNNNNNNNNNNNNNNNNNNNNNNNNNNNNNNNNNNNNNNNNNNNNNNNNNNNNNNNNNNNNNNNNNNNNNNNNNNNNNNNNNNNNNNNNNNNNNNNNNNNNNNNNNNNNNNNNNNNNNNNNNNNNNNNNNNNNNNNNNNNNNNNNNNNNNNNNNNNNNNNNNNNNNNNNNNNNNNNNNNNNNNNNNNNNNNNNNNNNNNNNNNNNNNNNNNNNNNNNNNNNNNNNNNNNNNNNNNNNNNNNNNNNNNCAACUCACAGCUUGGAUAAUUAAUCAUAGUCUCUGAGUGUAUAUUUUUAUUUAAAGCAAAAGAAAUAAUUUAUUCCAGUGAUGAAAUGAAUUUGUGCCAAAUGAGAUAUCCACCAUUUCUGCUAUGAACUCUCAAGUUGUGUGGAAGUUUUGUUUUCUUGUUGUGAUCAUGUUUGAUGUUUGUUUCAUGUUCUCUUCUCAUCAUUGGUUUGCCAGUUACGCUUCCCUUCCAUCUUCCUUCUAAUGCAGCGUAGUGGAUUAGGGUUUAGAGAGAAAUUAGAGAAGAAAAGGAUAACUUCAUCCACAAUUACAAGGUUAGCAUCACAGGGUUGUUAGGCACUCAAUUCAGUAAGAGGAAAUUAGUAUUUUGUUCAUAAGCAGCCUGUUUAAUAAUGAUGAAGCACCUUUCUCUUUACAGGUUGUUAACAUAGCCUAAUAUGAUUUGGAGUUCUUAAACAAGAAAACAAGAAUAAAUAAAAUUUCGAACUAAAUAAGACCUAAAACCUUAACAAAAUAUAAAACAUGCCAAGAUAUAAUAGUCUUAUUUUAGUAAAGCUGGGCUAGAUGGUCCAGCAUCACCUUUUCUAUCUCUCUCUCAAAAUCAGAGAAAGAGAAAAAAGUCAGAAAAAAAUAGAAAAUACUUGUUUGAGAUUUGUUUUAAUGUUUGUCCAUGUGUCAUAUAUGUGAAUGUUAGUGCUGUUGGUUUAAUUAAAAAAGAUCUGAGUGUUGAAACUUGAUGGAGCUAUGGGACAGUAGGAGAAAUGUUGAGUAUUUCUGCUUGGCUGAAGCUUUUAUUUGUUUAGUUUUCCAUUUAUAUGGUUCCUAAUCUUACACUGCCUUAAACCUUUCCUGAUGUAAAUAUUACAUUUUUUCUCUUUGAAACAGUUCUGUGCCCAGGAAUCAGUUCCUCAUGCUAAACUGGAGCAUCCUGCAGCGUACAGUGUGUACAGAAUUUGCACUUGCAAACAAUGUGGAAAGGAGGCAGAUGGGAAGGAUUGUCUAGUAUGUGAUUCUUGUGAAGAAAUGUACCAUGUGUCCUGCAUUGAGCCUGCUGUCAAGGAGAUUCCCCCAAGAAGCUGGUAUUGUGCAAAAUGCACAGCCAGUGGAAUUGGAUCACCUCAUGAGAACUGUGUAGUAUGUGAGAAGGUUAAUGCCCCUAGGACCUUAAUUAGUCAUGGUGUUAAUGAUAUUAGUCCAACAAAUGGUGAGCCAUUUUAUGAGAUUGAAGAGAAUUCAAAUGGUAGUAUGGAGAAUGGGCUUCAAAUGUCAGAAGAGAGCAAAAACAACUCUAUGUGCAAGGUUUGUGGCGGGGAGGUAGAGGAUGGUGAAAAGUUCAGGAUGUGUGGUCAUUCCUUCUGUGUUAGCAAAUAUUAUCAUACAAGGUGCCUGACAACUAAGCAGUUAAAAUCAUAUGCUGCCUGUUGGUACUGCCCUUCUUGUCUCUGUAGAAUUUGCCUCAAUGACAAAGAUGAUGAUAAGAUUGUUCUAUGUGAUGGUUGUGAUGAUGCAUACCAUAUUUACUGCAUGAAACCACCUCGCACUUCAAUUCCAAGGGGCAAGUGGUUUUGCAGAAAAUGUGAUGGUGGUAUACAGAGAAUACGCAAAGCAAAAAGAGCAUUCGAAAAAUUUGAAAAUAAACAGAAAGAGAGGGGUGGAGACAGUGAAAAGGAAAAUGAAGUAUCUGAAAAGCAACAGUGCGAGAAUGAGAAAGAAGAAUCGGACAAGGGAAGAGGAGGAAUGGACAUGCUCUUGUCUGCGGCCAAUACUCUAAACUAUGAAGAGAAGAUGGCUGCCAUUCAGAUAAAGAAUUAGAAGGAAGUUUGAUAUUGAAGAAUGACUUGUCUAGUAUGUUUACUUGCUGAUUCCCAAAAAUUUAUUUCCGGUGCAAUUUUUUGGGGGACAAAUAUUUUGGUAGGUUGUAAAGCACUAGAUCUACUGACUUUUGGAUAGAUAACUCAGUGACAACAUGAUUCCAAAGGCUGUAUAUCGCUGGCUAGCAUCCCAUGAAUCAGGAUCAGGGGGGAAAAGCAUUAGAUUCAUUUUGUGCAAAUGACCCUUUAAACAUUUUGGAGGAUAUUUUGCCCACUUUGUACUAAGCAGUAUAUACUUUUGAAGAGGAGUCCUCAAAAAACAGUGUUUCUCACUCUUGUUAAGUGUUGUAAAAUGAAGAAAUUGUGACUAAAGCAAACUGAAUUAGUAAUGAAGUGGAAGGAUUAUUCUCUGUCUCCAGCUUACUGAAUUAGUAAAUUUGAUUUUAGGUGGAAGCAAAAUUCAAAAAUUUGAAAAUGCUCAUUUUAGGUGAAAGCCCCUGGACUGGUUGGAGAGGAGCGAAAAGAAUGAUUCUAGGGACACAUCAGGUAGCUAAGGGUUUAGGGCCAUUUUAAGGGCCCUCUAAGGCCCAUUUUAAUGCUCACAUAAGGCCCAUAUCAGGCCUAUUUUAAGGCCUACAAGACCCAUUUUAAGGCCCCUAUAGGGUCAAAUGUCAUUAAAAGGUGAGCCCAAAACCAAACAAGACAACUGAAGACGGCAAAUGUACCGUUAAGAAAUGACCAUCUUAAGGCCCAUAUGAGCCCAUACAAGACUCAUUCAAAGGCCCACAUGAGGCCCAUUUUAAGGCCCACUUAAGACCAUCACAGGACAAUUUUAAGGCCCCUCUACGGCCCAUUUUAAGGCUCGUAUAAGGCCCAUUUUAAGGCCUAUGAGGCCCGUUUUUAUUUUGUUUUCGAUUAUUUUGAGAAAUAAAGUUUAGUUGGAAAUUUAAUUGCAACUUUGAUUUGUAUUUUGUUUUGAUUUGGACUUGGUUCGCUGAAGAAACAAAAUUUAAACUUGAAACUUGAAACAUUGGGUCUAGAAGAACAAAUUAAGGAGUUGAAUCUAAAAGACUUUUGAGUAAGUUUGAAUUAAUAAUAGAGGGUGUAUAUACAUGUAUGCGCACACCCUAAUAUUAUUCUGAAAAUAUUGAUAAAAUAUCUAUACAUUACAUGUUUUGAUAGAUAUAUAAAAUAUAUUUAAUAAAGUAUUGGCCUUAGUACUUACUUAUUAUGGUAUUCCAUGAGGAAUAUCAGACGCGAAUGGAAGUGGUGGAUGCAUUGAACUAACCAUUAAAAAGUUUAAGUCAUAAUGUGAUCGUCGCAAUUGACACGACAAUGUGCAUCUACCAGCUGCAUCAUGCAAUUUUUUUUUUACCAACCUCAUCAUGUAACGCAUGCAAACAAGUUUAUACAAUGCGUAUUGGCUGGAACUAUGAUUUUAUCCUUGUUUUUAAGUAAGAAUUAGGGGAGGAAAAAAAAAAAAAACUCACACUAAAAUUAUUACAAAUGAAAUGAAAGAAGAACUUCGAGCAUUAAGUAAAACACAUACUUGAGAUUCUCUAUAUUGUUGGCUGUAAAUGGGUACGUAAUAUAAAUAACAUAAUUGACUUUUGUUUCUCGUGAUGAUCGUAUAUCUUUUUGAUGCACUAAUCAUGAUAUUAUUUUCUCGUGCUGGUUUCACAACGAAAACCAUCCUUACUUAUGGUGAAACUCACGUACAAAGGUGUAGUCUUCUUGAUGAUCAUAUAUUAUAUACUGAUUUAAUAUUUGAAUUUCACGUUAAAUAAAAAUAUAUGAUUAUUAAACUCUGUAUAGUGGUUCAAGUCAUAUAUUACUAUUAAUUUAAGUUUAAAUAUUUUAAAAGAUAAUAGUUUGAUUUUAAAAUUUUUUUAGAUUAAUAUUGUUUUAACUUGAAACGUGUAAAUAAUAUCAAAAUAUAUAUUAACUUAAAUUAUGAGUUUCAUAUAAGGGGCCGAGUCUCAUAUUACUAACACUUGAGAUUAAGUUUUUGAGGGUUAGAAUUUCUCCCAAAAGUUAUUUGAUUAGUAGUAAUUGAGCUCAAGAUAUUACAGUCGAAUUCAACAUGACAUUAUUUAUGAUGUUUACUUAGUUAAUCAAUUUAUAGUUGCAUAUAUAUAUAUAUAUAUAUUUGCUUAUGUUAGUAUUUAAAUGUAAUUUGGAUUUUACUUUAUGUCAAAACACUUUGUUUCGUUAACUAAUUUUUUAUCCAUUUCUUAUUGAUUCUUUUUUUGGAUACAUUGAUGUUAAUUGGCCAUUUUUUUUUGAAAGGUAAAAAUUUAUUGAAACAAUAUAACUGUAUAGAUAGAUAGAUGUACACAAAGGAUAACCUUAUUAAACUAAAACAUAAUAAGUGAAUACAACAUUAACAUAAAACAUAGCUAAUAUCAACACAACAACUUUGGGUCGGUAGGACUUUAGACUUUAUGAGAUAUUUGAAUCGUGAAUUGUGAUUGUUGUAUGUAGACUUGAUAAGAACGUUGAGAGUUUGAGUAAUACAGAUUGUGAUAUCCAAAUCUCAUAUUAAAAAAGUAUAUGAUUAUUGGACGUCACAUAAGAGGUGAAGUAUAUAUUGCCAAUGACUUGUGAUUGAUCUUUUUAGGGGCCAGUAUUUGGAUUCAAAAAUUUGUUGGGUUUAUAGUGUUUGGUUACGUAACAUUAUAAUUGAACUAAACUUGAUACUAUUUAUAUAGUUCACUCAGUUAAUCAAUUUAUGAUUUCUUUUAUUUUCUAUUACUAUUUAACCAUCUUCUUUGGAUUCUUCUUUAUGCCAAGGCACUCUUUUUCAUGAACUAUUUUUUUUAUCUGCUCUUAUUAAUAUUGUUUGAAUUGAUGCUAAUUGAACAUUUUUCUAAGUGACAAUUUAUUGAACAAUGACCAUGAAAGACAAAUAUACAUGAACAAUAACUGUGCAUAACUAAAGUAUAAUAAGCAAAUACAACAUUAUCAUAAUAAGGAUUGUGUAUCAACUUGAUAACUUUAAGUUGAUACAAUUUUAAAUUUUAUUCGACGUUUAAAUUUUAAUUUGUGAUUAUUUUAUAUUGAUUUGAUUGGGGAAUAUCGAAAAUUUGGCUGAUGCAGUUAUAAUAUCCAACAAAUCUUAUAUAUUAGAAAAAUGUGACUUUUGAGCUCCAUAUAAGGACUUAAAUCGUACAUUAUUAAUAAUAUGAGAUUAACUUUUGGUUGUCGGUGAUUGUGGGCUAAAAAAUUAUCGGAUUAGUAAUGUUUAAGUUUAAUAGAUCACGUUUAAACUCAAUAGGAUAUUAUUCAUAGUUUAUUUAGUUAAUCAAUUUAUUACUUUUUGCUUGUGUUACUAUUUAACCCUCAUUUGAAUUGUUCUUUUUGUGAAGACACUCUUUUUCAUAUACUAUUUUUUUUUUUUACUUGAUUUGAAUACUUUGAUACUAAUAGAGCACUUUUUUAAAUGUAAAAAUUUAUUGCAAUAAUAGCAUCCCCUAAGAUUAAUUUAAAUGAACGACAACCGCAUCCAACUAAAACAAAAUCAAUAAAUAUAAUAUUAGUAUAACACAAGCAUGUAUCAACUUGGUACCUUCGGAUUAUUGGGAUCUUGGACUUAGUGGGAUACUUAGAUUGCGAUUUGUUAUUUUUAGAUGUAAAUAUGAUGAAAAUAUAAAAAAUCUAAUUGAUGCAACUUAAGAUAUUUAAAUCUCAUAUAAUAAAAAUACGUUAUUAUGAUUACCCAUGAUUUAGAUUUGAAAAAUUAUUAGAUUAGUGGUAUUUAGACACGAAACGUGACAACUGAACUUAAUUUGAUAUUACAGUCUUACUCAUGGUAUUAAUUUUGUUUAUUACUUUUUAUCACCUAAAAGUUAAAUAUAAAACUAUUGCUUUUUCUGACGUUUAUUUCAUUAGUGUUAUAUAUAUAUAUAUAUAUAUAUAUAUAUAUAUAUUAAGUUUACUUUUAACUAGUAUAUAAAUUGUUAGUACAAAUAAAUUUUUUUGUUUUUAAAUCAAAUAAAUAGUAGCAGAAAUAAUUAUUCAGAUAUAAUUUCAGUAAAAACUCAAUUAAACAUAAUUUUCUUUUUAAAAUAAUUCAACUUAAUGUUAACAUAUAAAAUCUCAACUGUGAGUUUAAAUAUUUUUUGCUGUAUCCACAUUUUUAGAUAAUACUGGUAAAUGUAUUACAGUAUAUAUACAUAAAAAUGUGUAUUUAUAGUAGUAAAGUGGAAAUAACAUUGGAAGUGAUGAUGAAAAUUUGGUCGCAAUUUGAAAAGGAAAAUUGUGUUUAGCAUUUCUUAAAAGUAUUUCUUUUUGUAGUUAAAUAUUACAUACGCAUGAAUGUAUAUUAUUAUGUAUAAGCAUAUAUAUAUAUAUAUAUGUGUGUGUGUGUGUGUGGAAAUAAAAACUACAGUGACGAUCUUAUUAUCUAUGAAUUGUUUGACUGUGUAGAAGAAAAGAAAUCUCUUGGUUAAUGUGAUUAAUCUCCAUAUUUUGCAAAUUUAGCGUCGCAUUUGUUACCUUUCAACAUUAAUUUGAUAAACAGAAGAAGAAGUCGUUCUGAAUCUUGAGACGGAUGCUUAUAGAAAUCUAUAUAUAUAUAUAUAUGUGUGUGUGUGUGUGUGUAUAUGUACGUAUAUACAUAUAUUGUUGUGCAGUCCAUUUGUCAACUAAUUCUGGUAAAUAUUAGUAUGAUUACAAUAAUUAAUAUGUUACUAAUUCUCGUUAAACGUAGAAAAUUAUGUAACAACCAAGUUUUGUCGUUUAAAUAUUCAUAAUAUCUUAAAAAUACGACGUAAGAGGUUCUGCUACCGCGAAGUUCAAAGUAUAUAAGUGAUAUGAAUGUAACUAAAAACUCCUGGUUAUAAACUUUGGUGUUCAGUCAUGGAGCUAAUGAUCACCCCAACCCCUGCAAACUCUUCCCCUCUCACACCCCUUGGCUUCUUGGAGAGAGCUGCUUGCGUUUAUGGUGACUGUCCCUCCGUCGUAUACGACACCGUUUCGUACACGUGGUCACAGACUAACCAUCGAUGCCUCCGGCUGGCAUCUUCCAUUUCAUCCCUCGGCAUCGGGAGGGGCCACGUGGUGUCCGUCCUCGCCCCAAAUAUCCCCUCCAUGUACGAGCUCCAAUUUGCUGUCCCCAUGUCCGGAACCGUCCUCAACAACCUAAACCUUCGCCUGGACGCUCAUGCUCUCUCCGUGCUCCUGCGCCACAGCGAAUCAAGGCUCGUCUUCGUUGACCACGACUCUCAACCUCUCUUAUUAGAAGCCGUAUCUUUGUUCCCGCGAAACACCAAGCCUCCGCUUCUCGUCCUCAUCGACGACGGUGCUGCCUCUGCGGGAACACCAACGUCAGCCGUUGAUUUUCUUGACACCUACGAGGGAGUGAUGGAGGGUGGUGAUCCGAAGUUCAAGUGGGUCCGGCCUAAUAGCGAGUGGGAUCCAAUGGUUUUGAACUACACGUCGGGCACAACUUCGUCACCUAAAGGGGUGAUUCAUAGUCACCGGGGAAUUUUUAUUAUAACCGUUGACUCACUCGUUGACUGGUCAAUGCCUAAUCGACCAGUUUACUUGUGGACCCUACCGAUGUUCCACGCCAACGGAUGGAGCUUCCCGUGGGGCAUGGCGGCGAUUGGUGGAACCAACGUUUGCAUGCGUAGAGUCGACGCGCCGGCGAUGUACCGUUUGAUUGAGCGACACAGGGUGACCCACAUGUGCGGUGCGCCUGUGGUGCUCAACAUGCUAUCAAACUCCCAAAACACGCCGCAGAAACCCCUUGACCACCCUGUGCACAUCUACACAGCCGGAGCGCCACCUCCUGCCCCGAUCCUAUCACGAGUCGAGUCGCUGGGUUUCGUGGUGAGUCAUGGAUACGGGAUGACCGAGACGGCCGGUCCCGCCGUGUCUUGCGCCUGGAAACCCAAAUGGGACAAGUUGCCGUUAUCUGAGAGAGCAAGGUUAAAGGCAAGACAAGGAGUGAGGAAGCUAGGAUUCGGUGAGGUCGACGUGAUAGAUCCCAAAAGUGGAGAGAGCGUGAAGCGAGACGGGUUAAUGAUGGGCGAGGUGGUUUUGCGAGGGGCGUACGUGAUGCUAGGAUACCUAAAGAAUCCAGAAGGAAGUGCCGCGUGCAUGAGAGAAGACGGGUGGUUAUAUACCGGGGACGCGGCGGUGGUGCACCCAGAUGGGUACCUGGAGGUGAGAGAUCGGUUCAAGGACGUGAUAAUAAGUGGGGGAGAGAACAUAAGCAGCACGGAGGUGGAGUCAGUGUUGUACUCGAACCCGGUGGUGAAGGAAGUGGCGGUUGUGGCGCAGCCGAACAAGUUCUGGGGGGAGAUUCCGUGUGCGUUCGUGAGUUUGAAGAGCGGGUUGGCUCGGAAUCCGACGGAGAAGGAGAUAAGGGAGUUUUGCAAGGGAAGGCUGCCGAGAUACAUGGUGCCAAGAAGGGUGGUGUUUCAAGAAGAGUUGCCCAAGACUUCCACCGGCAAGAUUCAGAAGUUUGUGCUCAGGGAAAUCGCCAAAUCUUUCAGUUAAUUACUUCCAUGUCUUAGCGUCCAUUUCUUUUAAUAUUAUAUAUAUAUACAUAUAUAAAGAACUAUAUAUACGUAGUGUCCACUUCUUUUUAAUUCUCAUACGCACUGCUGAAUCAGCCGCAAUAAAGUCAGGAUUGUUUUUCCGGCCGGCCAUAACUAUUAGCAUUCAUCCAACAGUAGUCAUACAAGCUACAAGGUUGACGCGAUGUACUCGUUAAAUAAAUAAUUAGAUACAUUUACCAGUAAGCUGGCAUAGUAAUCAGUAAUUAGAUACUUGUUAAUCUAUUACUAAAUACAUUAAUAUGAAUUUCUUUUUUUUCUUUUAAAGAAGAGAUAAAUAUCAUGAACUUGGGCAUUAAUAAUACAAUAUAAUAUGUUACCAAAGCUUAUGUUAUUAAUAAAAUUUUAUAAAUUAUUCUACAGUUUAUGUUGUUAUUAUUUGUUAAACUUUGAUGUUAAAUUUAAUAAUUCAAAAUUACCAAAGUACUUCUAAUUUAAUAACAAAAUUACUAUACUAGUCUCAACAGUAUAAAUAAACAAUAUAAUAUAUUAAAAAAAAUUAUAUUAUUAAAAUUUAUCUAAUAAAUUUUAAAUUUUUUUUAAAAAAAUAUAUUUGAAAUUUGUUUGGAAAAUUUAUUUUAACUUUUUUUUUUUUUUUUUUUCUCUCCAUGUUUUAAAACAUCAUUCAUUGAAACAUUAUUGUAACCUUUUUCCAGAUGUAAAAACCUGUAAACACAGCUUAGUGGAAAGUGGAACCAGACGGUGCAUAAGCAAAACUUAUAACUUCGUGUGUGUGUAUAUAUAUAUAUAUAUUACACCCAAACACACACACACACACACACAUACUUGUAUGUAUAUAUAUAGGACUCAGAUACAAUCCCAGUCCAGAUGAAGUAAAAUCACGAGGGAUGCUCCGCAUAAAUCACUAACUCAGCAGAGGCAAUUCAGCUGCAAGUACAACUCUCCCUCCCCUCCAGUUUGUCUUCCCCUCUGCCAACUUACGCUUUUAUCUGGGCUGCCAGUUGCAAAUGAUCCCAUGAAUCGAGUUCUCCAUUCUCCUUGUUUGCCUUCCUACUGCAUCAAGACUUCUCUAUCAUCAUUCAAAGGACAAACAUCAACUGUAUUCAUUGGCGAAUUAUCUAAAUCUUUUCCACUCAACUUACCAGAUAAGACUCAGAGAAAAGAUAUAUACCAUACAAAAAUAAAGGAAGUAUUCUUCUUCCUUUUUGUUUCUCAAGCACGUUCAGGACCCCCCCCCAGUCUUAUUAUCCCCUACAGCAUAUCGGUUUCUAUCAUUGCUCAGUCCUGAUGCAUGCAGCUGCUUUCUCCUCUUCACAAGAUGCAAUGCAGUUUGUCUGUCAUCUUUAGCCUCCUCGGAAUCAGGCUGCAUGUGAUAGCUACGAUUAUGAAAACCUCAAUCAUACAAUUCUUAUUGUGUAAAACAGAAAUAUAACUUUUAAUGGGGGAAACAAAACCAUUAAGCCCUUCAAGUACAACUUCAAUAGCUGUAAUUUCAUAAAUCGUUCAUGUUCCAAAAGGUUAGAAAUAAAGUAAUAACAAUAUGGAACACCUAUUACAUUCUGCUGCUUCUAUUUGUCACAACAUUCCAAAGUUGAUGUUUCCAUAUACAUGCAUUUUCUUUUUGCCUGAUAAACACUGUGCUCAAGUGUAAACAAGAAGACUAAUUCAGCCAGGUUUCUCUAUGUUGCAAACUAAUUUUUCACUUAAUCAUGAAUGUGAAGAUAGCCAGAGACUCGAGAUCCAAGUUUUAAAAGCUCAGACAGAGAACAAUACCAGAAAUGAAGAGCAUAGCUUUUGUAAUCACUAAAACCAAACGAAAUUCCAUUAGAUUAUGGCUCUGUUUGGUAAAUGAAAAUAUUGUCUAGUUUUUAUUUCCUAAAUUAAUAUUUAGUUUAUUCAGAGGGCCAUAUAAAUUAGAUAACAAAAAAGAAAAUGAUAGUGAUGAUAAUGAAAGUGAAGAAGUAAGGAAAUUUCAAAAUGUUGUUUCUAGUAUUUUUUAGAAAAUUAUCUUAUUCGUGCUUUUAUUAUUCCCGAAGUACGCAACUGUUACACAUUUUGUGAAUAAACCUAUGCAUAAAUACAUGCGAAUUUAGUAAACAAUGCAUAAAAACUAGAAAAGAUUUUCAUGUACCAAAUGGACCAUAUUUCUUAAAAGUUACCUUGAUAGCUAAUGCCCUGUCAAAACUUUCUAUAGCACUAUCAGGCUCCCCAAAGUUUAACUGUGCCCUCCCAAGGGUGAUCCAUGCCUGGAAGAUCCACUUUAGUAAGAAACAAAAAAGACAACAUAAAAUAACAUGAAUGCACCUUCUAUAACUUUAAUAUAAUUGCAAGCUAGGACAGCAGCAACUGCAAUUACUACUGCACUGGUAACAGCAGUGAGUCCAGGCCAUUUAGGAUCUCACCUUGUAUGCAACAACUACUCUACCAAUUAACUAGUGAUGAAGAAUAGAACGAACAUCUACUUUUCACUUUGAAGAUUUACCCAAAAUAAGACACGCAUAUUAUGAUUUAUGCAUGCACAUAAAGGGACAGGCAGGCUCUUCAUACAAUCACAAAGGCUAAGUAGAACAUGAAAGAGACCUUGACUGAGAUAUUAACAUAUAAAGCACUAUAAAUAUUUGCUGACAUGCCAACAAGCCAAUGGCGAAUCUAAAGUUAAUGAUUCAAGGAACUGUCAGGCAGGUUUUAACAGCUAGUUCCUGUCCUGAACUUCAGUAAAAUAUGUCCAGCUGCAGUUUCAUAGCUUACUCCCAAACUUCAGUUAAUAUGCACGAUAUAAGAUGUCUGCAGAAUUUGGAAAUUAGCACACAACAUUGCCGAGUUGUACACAGUCCAAAAUCAGUUCAGUUAUAUGUUUAUAUCAAUAGAGGAAGUUCAGCAGUCGGAGCAAUCACCCCAACCUUAAACAUGAUAUGAAACAUUCAGUUAGUAUUUAACAUGUAACAUUGAAAAACAUAACAAAAUAUUCUUCUAAUUAUUCUUCCAUUUUGAUAAUCUUGAUGAAACAAGAGCAUCUCCAGAUGAAGAUGCCAAAUUUUAUGUAUAAAAUGGUAAAGGGUUAAGUACCUCAGCCCAUGAAGGUUCCAACUCAGUAGCUCCUGUAAAGUAUAGUGUACUCUUAAAAUCAAAUUGUAGAAAACAACCAGUGAAGGAAUCAUGAAACCCCAAAAGAUAGUCUGCGGCUGAAAAUAAACUGUUCCAAGGGCAUGGACAUGCAGAUGCAAUGCGAUCAAAGGAAGGAGACAACAUGAAUGAAAGACUUAGAAACACAUCUGGCAAUUUCAUGCAGAAAUAAAACAAAAAGAGAAAAUAAAAACAGAACCUACGAGUGGCUGCCUUGAGUGCUUUCCAUGCAUCUCCAAUUUCCAGUAAAACUUGGGCCUUUUGUUCUUGCAGUUUUGCAUUUUCCGGUAUCAAAUUCAGAGCAGCCUCCCAUUUCCCAAGUGCUUCUGGGUAUUUUCCUUCCUUCCAAAGAAAAACAGAUAAUUUAAAUAUAAUUGGAAAGAGAUGCACAAAAUUACCAAGCCGAGCUAAUUACAAGAUAACUAAAGUAGUGAUAGGCACAUAACAAUCAUCCAUUCCACCAUGUCUCAAACCUAUUAAUACCCGAUUAACAAUUUAGCAAAAUUUCCGAAUUUUACGAUGGAACUCUGCCCAAAACCCAUGAAAAUAAUUAUUAGAAUAAACUGGGGAGAAAGAAAGAUUUACUGGGGAGGUAGGGAAUAUACCUCAGCAAACUUGUUUCCUUGGAGUUGAAACGACUCGGCUAGCUGUUUAGAGCGAGAAUCAAAGUGAGCAGGAAGAUGAUGAUCCCCCGUUUUAAGUUCUGAAUCAGAUUGGUGCUGUUGGUUGUUAUCCGGGCUUUCUUGGUCAAAAGGGAGACUUGGGUAGUGGGAUAUAGCACCCAAUGACCGCUUCUUCGUCUUCUUGGUCCAUGUCACCUUCAUCUCCUCUAUCACUGGAUUUUCCAGAUAAACGCCUGUCUUUCUAUUCCUCUGCCCUGUCUCGGUUAAGAUCCAGAAGAUUCGACGGAGGGUAGAGCAGAACACCCGAUACUCAACGGUGCCGUAUGCCGUUCACAAAACAACCUUUGUCGUUCGUCAAGGGGCAAACAGACAAACGGUGCCGUUUUGUGACUUGUAGGAUAAGCCCGGAUGUGUAAAUGGGCUUGGGCUCAGUCUCUUAAAUGGGCCUUAAAAACACGAAAGAGAAUUAAGGAGAAAGUGACACGUGUACAUCUGUCUCUUAAAUGACUUGGUCAACAAGUCAUCUUAAAGGAUAAAAUUUUAAUUAUAACUUUUUCCAAGUUGGCAUUUCUGGCAAAGAGGCGAUUACGUGGCAUAAACCCUCUUCAUCACAAGUCUAUUUAUUAAGGGGCAAAACGCAGUGCAGAGUACAGAGGUGGUAAAGAAGAAGAAGAAGAUGAAGACGAGUGAAGAAAAAGAUUUUGCAGAGGAGAAGAGGCUUUUAAAAAUGGAGGCUGAGGACAGUGGGGGAAGAAAGUGGUUGAAGCCAAAACCAGCAAGUGUGAUGCCGAAACCAAGGAGGUCAGUAAAAACGAUGGCGUUUAAUCUCUUCCUCCAAUCCAUAGCAUCUUCUUCUUGCUGCUGCUCCCACUCAAAUAACCCUGGUUCUCCUUAUUGAUACUUUCUGCCAUUACUGAAAUUUUCAGUUCUCAGAAUUUUGUUUCAUUUCCUUCUUUUGUUACCACUACGUGUUUAUGUAUCUUUCUUAAACAUCAUUUUGGUUUCCUAUUUCGAUAUUAUACAUAUACAUAUAUUCAACUGGUACUGUAUGUAUCAAUACACAUUUUCCCAGGUACGUAGUUCCAUCUGGGUUCAUUCCCAAUCACCAUGGAAAACCGAGUUCAUUCCCCAAAUAUUAGAAAGAAAAAAAAUUAUUUCGUUAUAAAGAAUAAAAUAAUUCAAAUGGCAAUAAUUUAAUAUAAUGAUUCAAUUGCAAUAAACAAGUUCAAAUAUAAUGUGAAAA